This 492-nucleotide ribosomal RNA is filed under the name uncultured bacterium. RNAcentral's name for it is "partial 16S ribosomal RNA". It matches the Rfam family "Bacterial small subunit ribosomal RNA", at positions 29 to 507 of the family's 1533-position model. The record is from RNAcentral.
AGUGAACGCUGGCGGUAGGCCUAACACAUGCAAGUCGAACGGCAGCACAGUAAGAGCUUGCUCUUACGGGUGGCGAGUGGCGGACGGGUGAGGAAUACAUCGGAAUCUACUUUUUCGUGGGGGAUAACGUAGGGAAACUUACGCUAAUACCGCAUACGACCUACGGGUGAAAGCAGGGGAUCUUCUGACCUUGCGCGAUUGAAUGAGCCGAUGUCGGAUUAGCUAGUUGGCGGGGUAAAGGCCCACCAAGGCGACGAUCCGUAGCUGGUCUGAGAGGAUGAUCAGCCACACUGGAACUGAGACACGGUCCAGAUUCCUACGGGAGGCAGCAGUGGGGAAUAUUGGACAAUGGGCGCAAGCCUGAUCCAGCCAUACCGCGUGGGUGAAGAAGGCCUUCGGGUUGUAAAGCCCUUUUGUUGGGAAAGAAAAGCAGCAGGUUAAUACCCCGCUGUUCUGACGGUACCCAAAGAAUAAGCACCGGCUAACUUCGUG